AACGAACGCUGGCGGCGCGUCUUAAACAUGCAAGUCGAACGAUCUGUAGCAAUACAGGGAGUGGCGGACGGGUGAGGAACACGUAGGAAUCUACCUUGAAGAGCGGGACAACUUUGGGAAACCGGGGCUAAUACCGCAUAGUACAGAGAUGUUAAAGGGCUAGCAAUAGUCGCUUCGAGAUGAGCCUGCGGUCUAUCAGCUUGUUGGUGAGGUAAUGGCUCACCAAGGCUACGACGGAUAGCCGGUCUGAGAGGAUGAUCGGCCACACUGGCACUGAGACACGGGCCAGACUCCUACGGGAGGCAGCAGUUAAGAAUCUUGCGCAAUGGGGGAAACCCUGACGCAGCGACGCCGCGUGAAGGAUGAAGGCUUUCGGGUUGUAAACUUCGGUAGACUGGGAAGAAGAAAUACGUUCGUUGAGGGCGUAUAGUGACGGUACCAGUCUGAAGCCCGGCUAAUUACGUGCCAGCAGCCGCGGUAAU
This 482-nucleotide ribosomal RNA is filed under the name uncultured bacterium. Its description in RNAcentral is "bacterial SSU rRNA". It matches the Rfam family "Bacterial small subunit ribosomal RNA", at positions 29 to 524 of the family's 1533-position model. The record is from RNAcentral.